CUUGCAGUGAGCCGAGAUUGUGCCACUGCACUCCAGCCUGGGUGACAGAGCAAGACUCCGUCUCAAAAAGAAAGGGCGCAGUUUGCAGGCCAGUGAACUAAUGCACCCUCACCAUAUAGCCCGACAAAAAUUGAUCUGCCAUGGAGCUCUAAAGAACUCAUAAUUUCUCCAAAAGGACCAUCUUUCUGCACCUAUACAGUUGUUGAAGAUCAAGGGUCAGCAAACUGUGGUCCACAGGCCAGUUGCAUAUUUUUGCACAUAAAGUUUUAUUGGAACAUAACCAUAGCCAUUUAUUCACAUAGUGUGUAUGGCUGCUUUUGUGUACAAUGGCAGAGUUGCAAAGCCUAAAAUAUUUACUAUUUGGCCCUUUAAGAAAAAGUUUCCUGACCCCUGUUUUAGUUAGUUCUGGAAUGAUCAGCAUGUGUGGAAAAUCCUCGGGUUGAUGCAGAAGCUUAGUGGCUGCACAGUAGUGAUACGUUGUUUUCCCAGGCUAUUUUAUUGUUUCUUAAUUCCUUAAUCACUUUCUGGAUUAAAUUCAGGGCCAGAAGUCACUCAGACAUCUCUAAGGAUUGUCUUACUGGCAUAAGCUAAAGCACAUAUUAUUCUGCAUUCAUGGAUUAAAAUAUUAAGUAAUUUGAUCUAGAUGAUUGUUUACAGUUGAACAAAUGCACUGAGUCUGUUCUGAUUAUUUACUCAAGGAUUAUAUUUUCUUACUACAUUCACUCAAGAAUAAUAGUAUGUAAUCAUUUCCUGUGGGAUCUGCAAUGUUGAGGCCCUCCUUCAAAGUUAGUUCUCUGAUUUGACUCCAUGACAUGGAGUUGGCCUUUAGGUUAUGUGGCUGAGGUUCCUCAAACAGGAUGUUAAUUUUCCACUCUUUGUGGCAGGAGAAAUAUAGUCUAAUCUCAUGAUUUAAUGAACCAAAGAGCCGUCUCCCUUUUCACACUAUCCUUCUUUUAAAAAAUAAAUGUUAAUUUUGUUUCUUUGUGCAUCUUUUGGAACAAACUUGUAUUUUCAAAGUGCUCACCCCAUACUCAGGUGAGCAUACUCUCUAAGGCAGCCCAUUUGGAACAAACGAGCUUUAGCCAAGAGUUUAGUGAUAAAAAUACAUUGCUUGCAAAGCUCUAAUUUAGCACUCUGGUGCCUCCUACAUGGUUUUGCCAACAAACUCAUCUUUGCCUGAAAUAUAGGCUCUUCGAAGGCAGCUGCCACUCUCUCUUCAAGAUGCGAGGGGGAAGAGAGUUUGAGGCUUUUCAUUGUGAAGGACCCUCCACCCCCGUGUUCCUCCCACAGGCUCCUGAUUCACACAGCACAAGUUAAGAAACAGGGAAAUGGAAUCUUCUUGCCGAGGCAUGCAGCAGCUAGCUCCUUUGAAUCAGAAAAAUGUAUGUUCGUCAUCGCCAAGUUUGAAAUGCAGAUCCAUCACUGCUGCUGGAAAUUUGAGGCUGGUUCAGAGCCAGACCAGCCGCUCCUGGGGUCUUUUCUAUGUAAGAGGCAGUCUAGCCUGUUUAAGGUUGCUGUGUCCCCAGAGCCCUGGCACUCCCUCUGACAAGUUUCCACUCACUCCUUUCUGGUCUAUCCAGGAACCCUUCUCUGAGUUUUCAAGGACUGGCUAGGUGUCCUGCCUCAGAGUCACCUACCACCUGCAUUUUCCCCAUCAUAAAUUUGAAAUUGCUACUUUGCCUAUCUUUGCAUGGGCUCUUCCUCUAACUACACUGUGAGAGCCUUAAAUCCAGAAACCAUGUCUUUUUUUUUUUUUCCCAAAAAGACUCUCAGAUGAAUUUGCCAGGACUAAAACACAAUUCCCUGUUUCCCAUAUAUAGCCCACUGUAGAAAUUCAAUGGUUUUUGAAUGAAAGGAUGAAUGAGUGAAUGAAGGGACUUCAGAUCUGACUGGGGCAGAGACUGUGAAGCUAGAAACUUAGGUUGCUUUCCCUUCCUUCCCUUCCCAUUCCUCCUCUUCCAAUACCCAAGUCUGACAGGCUAUGAAGCACCUCUAUAUAUGGCUGAUGGAGCUUUAAUUGUUCACCCUAUCUUUUUAAAUUUAGCACUGUGCCCGAAGUCCAGGCACUUAGCUCUGGAUGCCCGACUGCAGAAAAUACCAAGAGCCAGUAGAAAAACUGCACCAAUGCUGGGGGUCCUAUUUUAAUUAUUCUAGAAAAUCACUUUUUGCUCAGUGUUUGGUUUCAUUUGGGGCUGACCUCCUUUCUUGCAGGCCCUAGAUUCGUGACAUCUAUAUUAAUCAGCAGAAUAAUUUUAGCCAAUUCCUUACCCUCGUUUUUCCUUCCCCUCAUUUGGACAGCUAGCCUUGUUUGUACUCCUUAUCUCAGAGAUGAGAUGUGAUAAUAAGAGGCAGAGAAAUAAAAGUAUGUUCCUGGCUUUUGGAUUCAGAAGUUGCCUUUAUGGGAAGGAAAAAACAAAACAAACAAAUGUGGCAUAGAUACAAUAUUUGGAAGAAAAGAUAACAAGAGUAGAAAAGAGUUUCUUAUUCUUAGGGGGAGGAAGUGAACUCAUGGGAAGGUACAGAGGGCAGAGAUGUUUCUGGGUCCUGUGUGCUACUUCACCCUGGGAAGGUGACACAAUCGCAGAUGUUUCUGUGAGAGUUGGAAGCAGAAAAGACACAUUCUUUGCCUCCUCAGUGGAGCCUCGGGGAAGAAAUGGGUGCAUAGUGGGUGCCCACUGAAGAGACACAGGCAGAUGUGCAAAGUUUUCCAUGCCCCAGUGAGAAAGAAGCAUGUCUCUUCAUGCCCAAGAGCACAUCAGAGAAAUGGAGAGUGCUUCUGAAUCCGAAAAGGUCACACAGUCAAGAGUGAAGAAUGUCUCAAUAAAUACCAGUGUGGAAGGAUGAUCUUGAGGACCACAUCCCUCACUCUCUCUCCUUCCCCUCCCCUUUCUGCACGUCUUGCAUCUCAGAAGCCCCUCCCAGAAACUAGAUACAACCCCAGGGGAAGGCGAGGUUGAAAUCCACAAGUUCACUGAGAUGGUUUCUGACAGUGCAAAGAAAGCGAGACUUGAAAUCAAAAUUAGGUUCUGUUUCUCACAUAAAUGUCUGGACUAGAAUUGUGUCCACUGCUCACAUCUUAUAUUCAGGGAUGACAUAUCUCAUGGAAGAACAGGGCUCAGCUGGCCAUUUAAAUGUCUUCCUAACAAAUGUUAAGGUUCUAGAAAGCAAAUGGUGGGUAUACUAUCCAACAUAUGCCGUGAAAGCAGAGCCAAUCCUGGGGGAAAGUUUCUCUCCUAAUGGUAAGGUGUCCAUAUUCUCUGCCCCAAGAACCAAGACGAGUGAUCUGACAAGUGUGAAGACUGCAUUUCAACCUGAAAAGGAUUUUUCUUAAACUCAAGCAUGAUAUUAGCUCUACUUUGAAUACCAGUUACGAAAAUUCAUAACAAGCUGAGACGGAACAUGCACACUGGUUUGCAGAUCCCUUGCAGUGACUCUACAUCUCCUAGGAAUCUGAGGUUCACAAGGUGAAACCCACCAGGCCAAACAAUUUAAAAUUGGUUUUGUUUUGAAAGUCCAGUAAGUAUGAUGGCAAUGUCUUGCAGAAAUUCCUCUUUUAGUAUUCCAGUCUGUGGGCUCUGGCAGAAGUAAUAGUCUGCUGCAAACAGAUCACUCUUUUUUGUUUGCAAAGUCUUCAUACCAGCUGAAUCACAGCUUGCUUUUCACUUUUCGUAACACCUUGCAACAUCGCAAAAUAUUUGCUGGAGUUUGUGAAGGGCGGCUGCAGAAUUAGUAAACUGAAAGGAGGCCUUCCUUUACUCCCACCCCUGUCAGCACCUUCUGUUCUAGCAGACCGAAAGGCAGCUUGAGAACUCUGAUUGCUUCUCCAGAUUAUGACAAUUCUUGGCACCAUCGCCCGGGGCAAGAAUGGAAGCAAAGGAAACAUUAUGGAGUUUUGCAGGUGCCAGUACAUAAUAUUGUCACUUUACAAACUUGAAUUUAUAAAUGACUUCGUGAAGGUAAGUUGCUAUGGUAACCAGCCUUCUCAACUUUCAUAUCUGGAAGUAAGGAUCAUAUGGCCCCUUCUGUUUGGGACUAUGUAUUCUGGAUUUAAUGAAUAACUACCCGUGCUCUAACUUCUAGUUAACUAGGCUCAUGGGAUGCUAGACUAGGAAGCAACAUUAGCAAUCAUCUCAUUCUACCUCCUUCAUUCAUAGAUGGGAACUGAGACGCAGAGAAGUGGCGCUGUACAGCUAACACGUGUCAGCCCUGAGCCUGUGGUUUCUCACUUAGUUUUCUUUUUUCUUUUUUUCAAAAUGAGUGAUUUUUGCAAGGCAGUUUACUUGUAUAUUGUUAUUUUUAAACAUUUUAGAUUCAGGGUCCAUAUGCAUAUUUGUCACAUGGUGUGCUGAUGGGGACUGGGCUUUGUGUUAGUCAGGGUUCUCCAGAGGAAUGUUUUCUUGCUUAGUUUUCUAGUGCUCUUUUCUUUCUACCACACUGCCUUUCUGAAGGGACGCACCCAGCUUCCACGAGUGGAUAAGAGACAUGGAACCACAGUUAGACACAGGGCCACCGUCACUUCUUGCUGAGAUGUUAAAACAAGUCCUCUCUAUGUGCUGGUGUGUGAAAUGUCUAAUUUUCUCUAUCAGAGUUAUUACAAAUUCCACAUGACAACAACUUUCAUUGAUUCAAAAUGAUGUAUGAGGGGACAGUGUGGGGAGGUGGGGAAUGACCUGAAGAAGCAUGAUCUAGUAUUGUGGUUCCAUAGUCUACCAUACAUAGAUUAGCAGUCUGCAAAGAAUUAGACUGUACCCGAAUUGUAGUGAACAUAACAUAAACUUCCUUUAGUAACUCAAAAACAAUGUCUCUUUGGCUUUUUAAAGCCUAAUUUCUUGAACAAUAAUUUCUGUUGCAUAAAUACAUGAAAAGGUGCUUCUGAUAAAGAGCUUUCCUUCCAGUUAAGAAAUCACCAGGCCACAGAAGAUUUAGCUGUUAGGAUUUUCCAUAGAUUCUUGGAGUGAAGAAUGGCAGAAGCUUAGAGUAUUUAGUACAUUCUUCUAAAAGCAAAUCAAAAUGCAAAAUUAAAACUAAACAGUGAAAUGAGAGUGUUCGUCCAUUUUAAAGAGAGAUGAAUACAAACGCUGGAUCCUCAACAGUCUUUAAACAUUGCAGAUCACCUGGAUAUGUGGUUAAAAUGCAGAUUCUGGUUCAGGAGGUCAGGGAAGAGACCCAAGAUUCUGCAUUGCUAACAAGCUCUCGGGUGCUAUCAACGCCGCUUGUCCUUGAUCUACACCUUGCGUAGAAAGGGACUAGUUAACGUGCUGUCUCCUUGAAUGCGUUUUCUGUGAGGGUCAGCCCUGACCACCCCAGUCACAGGAAUCUUUCUAGCCUCCGGAUUCCUAGUGCUCAUUUUGUAUAUAUCAUCCACAAGGUACUUAGGUACUGCCGUAUAUUGGUAUGUCCCAUAUGUGCAUGUCUUCUGUCCCCAACCAGAUUGUAAGCCCAUCUGUGUUUGCUCAGCCCUGUGUGUGCAACAGAGGUGCUGAAUGAAGAACUAUCGAUGAUUGAUUGAUACGUUAAAGACUACUUCCUCAGAAUGGUACACUUCACUCAUCAAUGGAGCUCAAGACGUAAAAGUCUGGUUUAAGAGACGUUGAAUCUCUUCUGCCUUUUAUUCUCCCUUUCUUGUAAGUUGACUUUUAAGAAAUCAGUGACUGUGUGGAGAGUUCUAAUUGGGAAUGUAAUAAAAUAACUGUGGGGGUGGGAGGGGGGCCCUAUCACACCAGGAAGCGUGUUUAUUGGUUGCAUUAGACCACUCAAGUGGAAGCACUGAGAUAUUCUGGAAAGAACAUAGGCUUGGGGGCCAACAGAUCUGGGUUCAGAGCCUUACUCUAUCACCUACAAGUUGUGUCUCUUUAGAAAAUUUACUUAAAAUUACUGGGAAUUUAUUUCAUCAUCUGUACAAUGGGCCACUUUUUUCUGUGAUUGUUGUUAAGAAUUGUAGUAACUGGUAAAUUGCCUAGCACAGUACAAGAUGUUACACUUCCAAGUCAAAUUGGAAACUGAGUGUUAGCCACCCAUCAUUCUGGUUUGAGAAAGCUGGUGGGAUAGUUUACAUGCAUGGCAUUAGCGCCAUCUAGUGGUAUACUACUGCCUACGCUUCCUUACAGAAUUCUGUCUUCUUUCAUUACCUUUGAAUGGCCACUUGAUUUAUUCAUUUUAUUCAACAAGCAUUUAUUGAAUGUCUACUGUAUGCCAGACACUGAUUUGGCAGCUGAAGUUACAACAGUGAACAAGAUAGACAUGGUCCCUGCCUUUAGGGAGUUUGUGGUCAGGUGGGAAGAUAGAAAUAAAAUAAUUACUGAAAUAGAAUUUGAAUUCAACUUACAAAAAGCACUAUGAAAGAGGACAGUGUGUGAGUCUAUAAUAAGGCUUCCCUAGGGAAGUGACAUUAGAGGUAAGAAGUGUAGAAUCCAGCCAGGAGACCACAUCAGGCAUGUAUCAGCCGCCCAGUAGCACCUCCCUGGACGCAUUUACCCCAUCCAGGAUCAGGAUCCUGCCAGUCUGUCAGGAACUCCUAUCUUGAACUGUGGCCUAUUUCGUCAAUCAUCUAAUGUCUAUCACAUCCCACUCUGUGCAAGUCACUUUACGUACACUGCUGCUGACUGUCUCAUGUUAUCCUUUUACAGGCGAUGUGCAGUGAGGUUAAGUAACUCGUACAAAGACAUAAAAUGACAUGUCAGAGUCAAGAUUCACACCCAGGUCUUUCUGCUGACAGCGCCCGUGCUCUUUCCUCUACUGAAGCUGUCUCCCGGAUGCCAAGCCCAGAUCUCUUUAUUCUGCAUUAUGCUGCUUGCCUUGGCAGAAAGGAAACCAUUAGGAGAAGUGCUUGGGGAAAACUAAAAUGCAAAGGGAGGGAGGGAAAAUGAAAUAACAGCUCAGUGGGUCAUGUGUGAAGGGCAGAGAGGAAACUGCUGACUUGGCUAGUUAUGUUUCUCUGGUGUGAUUUUAGGAAAGUAAACCCAAGAGAUCUCUUUCAUCAGGAAAGAAAGUAUCCCUAAUAACGUUGCUUAUACUCUUGUGGUUUAAAAUGCGUUGCAGCUGCUGCUAAAUUAAAAUGAUUUGGAGGAUCAUUUGGAGCAGAGAGGUUAUCCUCUGGAAAUCUAUAGGAAGUUGCAAGGAUUAAUGACCGCUAAGGAGCAAAACAUCGCUGGGUCAGAACCUAGCUGCAGGACUUAGAGGUUUUCUGCAACACGGGACUUUCAGCUUCAAAACUGGGACAUUCUCAUGACAAACUUAGGACAGUUGGUCGCCUGGCAGUGAGCCAGACUGGGAGGAUCUGAUGUACCCGUGGAAGUUAGGCCGAAACACUUACUGAAAUCUGGGGUCAAUUUGAGGCCUUGGCCACAGACCAAUGCAGAAAAGGUGGACAAAGGGUGGUACAGAUUCCUCAGUGCGAGUACCUUGGUACUCAGUCCCUAGAUUACCAACCCAGAACACCUGCUCUAGGUCUUGCAUGCAGAAUUAGUUGGCCCCAGUUCUGAGGGAGGGCUCAGGCGGAGGACAAGUAUGACCGCAGAAUCAGGCCACUCUGUGCUUCAGCUUCCUCAUCUGCAAAAUGGGAUAAAUAGCAGCACUUUGUGCCUAAAACUGCAUGUAAGCUCUGUUAGUUAAUAUGUAUAAAGUGCUCAGAAUGGUGACUGGUCCAUAUGAAUAUAGGAAGUAGCACCAUGGAAUUCUCAGGAAGAGAAACAGGUGUGUGGCCCUGGCUGGAUCAUGUCUAUGAUAGCUCAGUUUUCCCAUCUGUAAAAUGAUGAAGUCCCUGCCAAAGCUUGCAGAAGAAACAGAACAAGACACAGUCAACAAGGAAAGAAGUCACAGAUAGUAGGUAGGAACUUGUGCUCUGAAAUCAAACCCCCUAGAUUACAUCCAGCUCUGCCUCUUAGAUGUUCAUUUAUUUAUCUGCCACACCCCAGCCACCACCCCAAGACCCAAGAAACCAGGGUUGAAAUGCCAGGCACCAAAGCUGCUGCAGCCAUCAUCCAAAUCCCCCACACAGACCAGGGGCCCCCAGUCACUGGCCCAAGGCAGGAUGUAGCAUCCAGACAAAGCGGGGAAUGGAAUUUGCCAGAUAAUGGAUGCCAAUGUUUUGAGGAAGACAGCAGCCAAGGGAGAAAUGGAAAUGCAAACCAGGUACAAACACCAGUGGGCCAGGCGCUGUCCUGAGCACUUUAUGCACUAGUUCAUCUAAUUCUCCUAGCAAUCUUAUGAAGUAGGCACUAUUAUUCACCCCAUUUUACAGAUGAAGAGACUGGGGUGCACAGUGGCUAUAACUUGCUAAACUCACACAGCGAGCCAGAACUUUAGGCAAGUUUGCUGACAUUUCUAGUCCCUAGUUCCUCUCAAAAGAAUGAGGAUAAUAAAUUAUGACAUCUACCUCAUAGAUUUGUUAUGCAGAUUAGAUGGGAUAGUCUAUAUACAGCACUUAGAAAGGAUCGGAAACAUUUUAAGCACUCAAACCCCAAGUCACUCACUAGGUAAUUGGUGUGAUAAGAUACAUAGGCUACAAUUACCAAAAUUACAGCUGAUAGUUUAAGAAAAUGGCCAAAUGUGCAAGGUAGUAAAAGUCUGGGGUGGGGCAAGGGACAUAAAAUACCACAGGAACUGAGGAACAGGGGGUCAGGUCUGAAGAAUCUGUUUUGCAUGAGACACUUUGUAGGCCUUUGGAGAGAAAUGGUGAAGAGGACUUUAAGCAUGGACAGUUGGCCUCCAAACUCCGGGCUUUCAUUCCCUGAACUAAGAGGGACCACGAGCAAGCCCUCACCUCUGGGAAGAAGCCCUCAGCAGCCCAGAUAGGAGAGCUGAGGUGUCUGGAAAAGCCCACACCACGACCCGGGGCUGGGCCAGCUGUGGAGGGUCAGCAGUGCAGCCCCGUCUUGACUCCUGCUGAAGGCCUGGGCUGGGCCGCAGCUCUAGCUGAUGUUCCAGAUUUCUGCCAUGACCAGCCUCCUGCUUGCCAGCUUGAAACCACUGUUUGUUGACAUGAUCUCCCUGACUUCAUCCAUUUAGACCAUCUUUGGCUCACUGACCUCAGUCCACUCACUUUGCCUGCUGUAUUUUUUUUAUUGUGCCCCCCUGAUUCCAGGCAAGACAUUCCAUUCACUCCAGCCCCAAUCUGGGAACCUUGUCAGCAAAGAGGAUUGGCCAGGGAUGAGGAAUUGUGGUGAGGUGAAAGGAACACCUCUGAUAAGAGAUGUAGCAAUGCUACUCACUAAUAGCUCUAGAUUCUUGGCAAAGUCCUAGGAACUCACCCCACAUUUUUCAUCAGAGGGUGUAUUUGUUGCACUUUGGAAACCUAUUAAGAGUUGUAAUUAGCAGCAGGGAGAGAACAAGAACUCUUCUCCGGGGCAAGUGAUAAGAGCAGUAAGCACUGAGUGGACAGUGAUCAUCCAGCCAAGCAUGAUCCCUUUCCUCCUCUUCCAUCUCUUAAAAAGAGACUGUGCUCUCAGGCUCAGGGAAUUCUACCUGACUGUACUGCUUUGCGUCCAGAUGGAUUCCCUCUCUCUCCUGAGCCCUUUUGGGUACACGGCUGCUUUGGACAGUACCUGGUUUGCAUUUCAAUUUCUCCCUUCUGCCUUCCUCAAAUCACUGGCCUCUGUUAUCUGGCAAAUUCCAUUCCCCCCCUUGUCUGGAUGCUACCCCCUGCCUUGGGCCAGUGCCUAGCAGCCCCUGGCCUGUGUGGAGGAUUUAAAUGAUGGCUGCAGCAGCCUUGGUGCCUUGCAUUUCAACCCUGGUUUCUUGGGUCUUGAGGUUAUGGCUGGGAUGUGGCUGGUGGAACCCAACAAGGAGAUUUACCUCCAACAGUAAGGAGGGGUUUCUGUGAGAGAAAAUGAGCACCUGGGAACCCAGGCGGCCAGAGGUGAUUGAAUUGUUCCACACAAACUGGGUUCCCCUCAGGGCUGAUAUGGCCUGGAGAGACACCACUAGAGUCAUCAUGUGCCUCUAAGAGUUUGCUAGGAAAGUCUCCAAGAAAAGGCUAGACUUUCAUUGGGCUUGAAAAGUGGGCCACCCACACUGGGCACUCAGGUCUGCGUUUCUGCUCCAGUGUUCCCUCAGUCCAAUUUUACACAGCAGUAACACCCUCUUCCACUCAUGUUCUGUUAUGUUCUGCAGAUCCUAUAGGGGAACAUCCUGAUAAUGAAACCUUUGUAUUUUCCAUUGCUGCGACAAAAAGACCAGAUUAAACAUUUUAUGACA
Cercocebus atys (sooty mangabey) is the source of this 10194-nucleotide long non-coding RNA. RefSeq lists it as uncharacterized. The record is from RefSeq and is a predicted model, not a curated record. The transcript has 2 exons. Lineage: Eukaryota; Metazoa; Chordata; Mammalia; Primates; Cercopithecidae.